RNAcentral lists this ribosomal RNA (468 nucleotides) under uncultured bacterium. RNAcentral describes it as "partial 16S ribosomal RNA". It matches the Rfam family "Bacterial small subunit ribosomal RNA", at positions 28 to 507 of the family's 1533-position model. The record is from RNAcentral.
GACGAACGCUGGCGGCGUGCUUAACACAUGCAAGUCGAACGGAAAGGCCCUGCUUUUGUGGGGUUCUCGAGUGGCGAACGGGUGAGUAACACGUGAGGAACCUCCCCCUGACUUUGUGAUAACUUUAGGAAACUCCGGCUCAUACCGGAUAGGAUCUCUUGCUGCACGGUGGUGGUUGGUAAGUUUCGGCGGUUGGGGAUGGACUCGCGGGUUAUCAGCUUGUUGGUGGGGUAGUGGCUUACCAAGGCUUUGACGGGUAGCCGGCCUGAGAGGGUGACCGGCGACAUUGGGACUGAGAUAGGGCCCAGAAUGCUACGGGAGGCAGAAGUGGGGAAUAUUACACAAUGGGCGGAAGCCUGAUGCAGCAACGCCGCGUGCGGGAAGACGGCCUUCGGGUUGUAAACAGCUUUGGACUGUGACGAGGCGGGAGUGACGGUAAUUGGUAAAGAAGCACCGGCUAACUACGUG